This 494-nucleotide ribosomal RNA is filed under the name uncultured bacterium. RNAcentral's name for it is "partial 16S ribosomal RNA". It matches the Rfam family "Bacterial small subunit ribosomal RNA", at positions 28 to 507 of the family's 1533-position model. The record is from RNAcentral.
GACGAACGCUGACGGCGUGCUUAACACAUGCAAGUCGAACGGUGAAGCGCCUGCCUUUUUGGUGGGUGUGGAUGAGUGGCGAACGGGUGAGUAACACGUGAGUAACCUGCCCCCUUCUUCUGGAUAACCGCAUGAAAGUGUGGCUAAUACGGGAUAUUCUGGGUCUGUCGCAUGAUGGGUCUGGGAAAGAUAUUGUUUCGGUGGGGGAUGGUCUCGCGGCCUAUCAGCUUGUUGGUGGGGUGAUGGCCUACCAAGGCGGUGACGGGUAGCCGGCCUGAGAGGGUGGACGGUCACACUGGGACUGAGACACGGCACAGACUCCUACGGGAGGCAGCAGUGGGGAAUAUUGCACAAUGGGCGCAAGCCUGAUGCAGCGACGCCGCGUGAGGGAUGGAGGCCUGCGGGUUGUGAACCUCUUUCGCCAGUGAAGCAGGCCUGCCUCGUUUGUGGGUGGGUUGACGGUAGCUGGAUAAGAAGCGCCGGCUAACUACGUG